GGCGGCCUUCCCCGCCGCGCCGCCACUCCGCGUGAGCCUCCAGCGCGCGGCCUCGACUUCUCGCUGCCGCGCUCCGGCGAGAAAGGGAGUCGGUGGCUGGGGCCCUUACCUUGUCUGACGGCUUUGAAGGUGACGGCCUCUGGGCAGCUGUCGAGGACACCCAGCACGUCGUAGAGCGGCAAGCCGGACACGCGGACGCCCUGCACCUCCAGCAGCAGCUCGCCCGCGCCCCCGCCGGGCAGCUCGGCCGCCCCGAGGGCAAGAGUCUGGCUGGUGAAACAGAUGGAAAUCCAGCAUCUUCCUUCCUACUAGAUGUCUGAUUCCAAAGGGACUACAUGUCAAGAGGGAAACACAGAUGAAAGCUGUGACCCAGAAGAACUCCUCCCAUGGAAGAGCAGCACAUGUACCUUCAUGACACUGGGAUGAGACUGUGCUCAUCUUGACUUGGUGACAGUACACUUCUGGAUGGUGCUCAUUUACCCUCUUAAUAAUUUGCAUGAGAAACUAACAUGGUCAGAUUAGGGCUCUUAUUUUGAGCCCCAUGUGAGUGUUAAUCUAAGACACCUGUUGUCCAUCCAGUACCCUGACUACCAAAGCUUCUUCACUGGGAG
This 611-nucleotide long non-coding RNA is filed under the name Heterocephalus glaber (naked mole-rat). RNAcentral describes it as "lncRNA (ENSHGLG00000049948.1)". Lineage: Eukaryota; Metazoa; Chordata; Mammalia; Rodentia; Bathyergidae. The record is from RNAcentral.